This 253-nucleotide ribosomal RNA is filed under the name uncultured bacterium. RNAcentral's name for it is "partial 16S ribosomal RNA". It matches the Rfam family "Bacterial small subunit ribosomal RNA", at positions 524 to 776 of the family's 1533-position model. The record is from RNAcentral.
UACGUAGGGUGCGAGCGUUGUCCGGAAUUAUUGGGCGUAAAGAGCUCGUAGGCGGCCUAUUGCGUCUGCUGUGAAAGCCCGGGGCUUAACCCCGGGUCUGCAGUGGAUACGGGCAGGCUAGAGUUCGGCAGGGGAGACUGGAAUUCCUGGUGUAGCGGUGAAAUGCGUAGAUAUCGGAAGGAACACCAAUGGCGAAGGCAGCCGCCUGGGCCUGAUCUGACACUGAGACACGAAAGCGUGGGGAUCAAACAGG